This 450-nucleotide ribosomal RNA is filed under the name uncultured bacterium. RNAcentral's name for it is "partial 16S ribosomal RNA". It matches the Rfam family "Bacterial small subunit ribosomal RNA", at positions 354 to 796 of the family's 1533-position model. The record is from RNAcentral.
GUGGGGAAUUUUGGACAAUGGGCGCAAGCCUGAUCCAGCAAUGCCGCGUGCAGGAAGAAGGCCUUCGGGUUGUAAACUGCUUUUGUACGGAACGAAACGGUCCGGGUUAAUACCCUGGGCUAAUGACGGUACCGUAAGAAUAAGCACCGGCUAACUACGUGCCAGCAGCCGCGGUAAUACGUAGGGUGCAAGCGUUAAUCGGAAUUACUGGGCGUAAAGCGUGCGCAGGCGGUUUUGUAAGACAGGCGUGAAAUCCCCGGGCUCAACCUGGGAAUUGCGCUUGUGACUGCAAGGCUGGAGUGCGGCAGAGGUGGAUGGAAUUCCGCGUGUAGCAGUGAAAUGCGUAGAUAUGCGGAGGAACACCGAUGGCGAAGGCAAUCCCCUGGGCCUGCACUGACGCUCAUGCACGAAAGCGUGGGGAGCAUACAGGAUUAGAUACCCUGGUAGUCC